AGUAGCGCGUGGGGAACCUGCCUUGGAGUGGGGAAUAACAGUUAGAAAUAGCUGCUAAUACCGCAUAAUGCAACUAAGUCGCAUGGCUUUGGUUGCCAAAGAUUUAUCGCUCUAAGAUGGCCUCGCGUCUGAUUAGAUAGUUGGCGGGGUAACGGCCCACCAAGUCGACGAUCAGUAGCCGGACUGAGAGGUUGGCCGGCCACAUUGGGACUGAGACACGGCCCAGACUCCUACGGGAGGCAGCAG
RNAcentral lists this ribosomal RNA (246 nucleotides) under uncultured bacterium. RNAcentral's name for it is "partial 16S ribosomal RNA". It matches the Rfam family "Bacterial small subunit ribosomal RNA", at positions 109 to 354 of the family's 1533-position model. The record is from RNAcentral.